RNAcentral lists this ribosomal RNA (2901 nucleotides) under Escherichia coli. RNAcentral's name for it is "23S ribosomal RNA". It matches the Rfam family "Bacterial large subunit ribosomal RNA". Lineage: Bacteria; Pseudomonadati; Pseudomonadota; Gammaproteobacteria; Enterobacterales; Enterobacteriaceae. The record is from RNAcentral.
UUAAGCGACUAAGCGUACACGGUGGAUGCCCUGGCAGUCAGAGGCGAUGAAGGACGUGCUAAUCUGCGAUAAGCGUCGGUAAGGUGAUAUGAACCGUUAUAACCGGCGAUUUCCGAAUGGGGAAACCCAGUGUGUUUCGACACACUAUCAUUAACUGAAUCCAUAGGUUAAUGAGGCGAACCGGGGGAACUGAAACAUCUAAGUACCCCGAGGAAAAGAAAUCAACCGAGAUUCCCCCAGUAGCGGCGAGCGAACGGGGAGGAGCCCAGAGCCUGAAUCAGUGUGUGUGUUAGUGGAAGCGUCUGGAAAGGCGCGCGAUACAGGGUGACAGCCCCGUACACAAAAAUGCACAUACUGUGAGCUCGAUGAGUAGGGCGGGACACGUGGUAUCCUGUCUGAAUAUGGGGGGACCAUCCUCCAAGGCUAAAUACUCCUGACUGACCGAUAGUGAACCAGUACCGUGAGGGAAAGGCGAAAAGAACCCCGGCGAGGGGAGUGAAAAAGAACCUGAAACCGUGUACGUACAAGCAGUGGGAGCACGCUUAGGCGUGUGACUGCGUACCUUUUGUAUAAUGGGUCAGCGACUUAUAUUCUGUAGCAAGGUUAACCGAAUAGGGGAGCCGAAGGGAAACCGAGUCUUAACUGGGCGUUAAGUUGCAGGGUAUAGACCCGAAACCCGGUGAUCUAGCCAUGGGCAGGUUGAAGGUUGGGUAACACUAACUGGAGGACCGAACCGACUAAUGUUGAAAAAUUAGCGGAUGACUUGUGGCUGGGGGUGAAAGGCCAAUCAAACCGGGAGAUAGCUGGUUCUCCCCGAAAGCUAUUUAGGUAGCGCCUCGUGAAUUCAUCUCCGGGGGUAGAGCACUGUUUCGGCAAGGGGGUCAUCCCGACUUACCAACCCGAUGCAAACUGCGAAUACCGGAGAAUGUUAUCACGGGAGACACACGGCGGGUGCUAACGUCCGUCGUGAAGAGGGAAACAACCCAGACCGCCAGCUAAGGUCCCAAAGUCAUGGUUAAGUGGGAAACGAUGUGGGAAGGCCCAGACAGCCAGGAUGUUGGCUUAGAAGCAGCCAUCAUUUAAAGAAAGCGUAAUAGCUCACUGGUCGAGUCGGCCUGCGCGGAAGAUGUAACGGGGCUAAACCAUGCACCGAAGCUGCGGCAGCGACGCUGAUGUGUUGUUGGGUAGGGGAGCGUUCUGUAAGCCUGUGAAGGUGUACUGUGAGGUAUGCUGGAGGUAUCAGAAGUGCGAAUGCUGACAUAAGUAACGAUAAAGCGGGUGAAAAGCCCGCUCGCCGGAAGACCAAGGGUUCCUGUCCAACGUUAAUCGGGGCAGGGUGAGUCGACCCCUAAGGCGAGGCCGAAAGGCGUAGUCGAUGGGAAACAGGUUAAUAUUCCUGUACUUGGUGUUACUGCGAAGGGGGGACGGAGAAGGCUAUGUUGGCCGGGCGACGGUUGUCCCGGUUUAAGCGUGUAGGCUGGUUUUCCAGGCAAAUCCGGAAAAUCAAGGCUGAGGCGUGAUGACGAGGCACUACGGUGCUGAAGCAACAAAUGCCCUGCUUCCAGGAAAAGCCUCUAAGCAUCAGGUAACAUCAAAUCGUACCCCAAACCGACACAGGUGGUCAGGUAGAGAAUACCAAGGCGCUUGAGAGAACUCGGGUGAAGGAACUAGGCAAAAUGGUGCCGUAACUUCGGGAGAAGGCACGCUGAUAUGUAGGUGAAGUCCCUCGCGGAUGGAGCUGAAAUCAGUCGAAGAUACCAGCUGGCUGCAACUGUUUAUUAAAAACACAGCACUGUGCAAACACGAAAGUGGACGUAUACGGUGUGACGCCUGCCCGGUGCCGGAAGGUUAAUUGAUGGGGUCAGCGCAAGCGAAGCUCUUGAUCGAAGCCCCGGUAAACGGCGGCCGUAACUAUAACGGUCCUAAGGUAGCGAAAUUCCUUGUCGGGUAAGUUCCGACCUGCACGAAUGGCGUAAUGAUGGCCAGGCUGUCUCCACCCGAGACUCAGUGAAAUUGAACUCGCUGUGAAGAUGCAGUGUACCCGCGGCAAGACGGAAAGACCCCGUGAACCUUUACUAUAGCUUGACACUGAACAUUGAGCCUUGAUGUGUAGGAUAGGUGGGAGGCUUUGAAGUGUGGACGCCAGUCUGCAUGGAGCCGACCUUGAAAUACCACCCUUUAAUGUUUGAUGUUCUAACGUGGACCCGUAAUCCGGGUUGCGGACAGUGUCUGGUGGGUAGUUUGACUGGGGCGGUCUCCUCCUAAAGAGUAACGGAGGAGCACGAAGGUUGGCUAAUCCUGGUCGGACAUCAGGAGGUUAGUGCAAUGGCAUAAGCCAGCUUGACUGCGAGCGUGACGGCGCGAGCAGGUGCGAAAGCAGGUCAUAGUGAUCCGGUGGUUCUGAAUGGAAGGGCCAUCGCUCAACGGAUAAAAGGUACUCCGGGGAUAACAGGCUGAUACCGCCCAAGAGUUCAUAUCGACGGCGGUGUUUGGCACCUCGAUGUCGGCUCAUCACAUCCUGGGGCUGAAGUAGGUCCCAAGGGUAUGGCUGUUCGCCAUUUAAAGUGGUACGCGAGCUGGGUUUAGAACGUCGUGAGACAGUUCGGUCCCUAUCUGCCGUGGGCGCUGGAGAACUGAGGGGGGCUGCUCCUAGUACGAGAGGACCGGAGUGGACGCAUCACUGGUGUUCGGGUUGUCAUGCCAAUGGCACUGCCCGGUAGCUAAAUGCGGAAGAGAUAAGUGCUGAAAGCAUCUAAGCACGAAACUUGCCCCGAGAUGAGUUCUCCCUGACUCCUUGAGAGUCCUGAAGGAACGUUGAAGACGACGACGUUGAUAGGCCGGGUGUGUAAGCGCAGCGAUGCGUUGAGCUAACCGGUACUAAUGAACCGUGAGGCUUAACCU